UUUGGUGAAGAAACUUCUUGCUCUUGAUGGAGUUUCAGAAAGUGAGAUCUGCUUUGAAGAUUUCCUUUGGGCGAAUUCUAUAUUUUGGUCUCGUGCUCUGAACCUUCCUCUUCCACAUUCUUAUGUAUUUCCCCAAAUUCAAGAAGAUACCGAGAGAACAUGUCCAGUUGAAAGAAGUUCUGAGGUGACCAUCAGUCAUAGUGGACUAAGUGGAGAGCUUGUUAAUGAAAUUGAUGGAAAAAGAUUUGAGGGUCAUGAGAAUGAUAACAAAGUCAAUGGAGCAACUUCCACAUCGAAACAAGAAGAAACUGUCUGGGUGGAGGGUCUUCUCCCUGGCAUUGACUUUUGCAACCAUGACUUGAAGGCAGUGGCAACAUAGGAAGUU
Molecule: long non-coding RNA, 385 nt
Organism: Hibiscus syriacus
Lineage: Eukaryota; Viridiplantae; Streptophyta; Magnoliopsida; Malvales; Malvaceae
Exons: 5
Source: RefSeq, a predicted model, not a curated record